GGAACCACAAGAGGUGCAGUGCAACUUCUUUCUCAAAAACAAAUAAGCAGCACAACACAACACAACCUCCCUAUGGGGAAGCCUUGAAAUGGAUUAUCUGUCUUUAAACACCCACACUCCUUCCUCUAUUUCUUUCUUCACUUCUCGACAUCUCCUGUUCUGUGAUCCAAAUUAUAAAUCUCAACUGGAGGGUGGAAGAUAAAAGUUCCCACAGGAAAACAGCUUUUAUGUAAAGUAAUGAACUGAAUGUGGUUCUAGAAACAAGCUGGCUCUAAAUAUCAACAUAGCAUACAGUUUCACACACAUGUAGUAUGCAGAAAUGCAGUUAAUUAGUUAUGUUUCACCUUUAUUGCCAUGGCAACUGUGAAAAAUGUGCUAAAUUGUAUUUUUUUUUUUUUUUUUUUUUGGUGUGUGUGUUUAUCUUUGCAAAGUUGCAAAGAUACAGAUGCUUCAAGGGACAACACAGGAUGUACAGGUUACCACUUUUAUCAUAGUCCUGAGUCUGUGGACUCAGUGGUUUUGGUUUUGAUUAUUGUCUUAUAUUUUAGGUUCAUUCUUGUUGGGAAUUUCUUGUUCUCAGGUUUUGUUUCUGUUUUGUAUUUCAAGCUCCUUUUGUUCUGUGUCUCUGUGUCUGCCCUGGUCCCACAUCUUUGUGUUGCCUCCCUGUUGCCAUGUCUUGUGUUAAGCUCGUGUCUGUGCAUACUUGUUGUGCUUCCUGUUUUUAUUCUGCAGGUUUCUGUCUCAUGUGAGUGUUCUCAGCUUUACGUCUGUGUCCCGUCAGCCCUGAUUUCUCCCAGGUGUGUUCCCCUCCUGUCUCCCAUCCUGUGAUUACUCCUGUGAGUAUUUAAGCCCUGUGUGUUCUCCUGCCUGUUGCUGGUAUGUCUGUGAUGUCUACCCUGAGUCUCCCUUCCUGUGGCCCUUCCUGUGGCCCUUCCUGUGGCCCUUCCUGUGGCCCUUCCUGUGGCCCUUCCUGUGGCCCUUCCUGUGGCCCUUCCUGUGGCCCUUCCUGUGUUCAUUUGCAUGUUACUCUGUGAGUUUUGGUUUCAGUUUCAUACAUUUAAGUUUUCCCAGUUUAGUUAUUUUUUAGUCCCUGUCCUCGCCAUCUCCACCUUAAAUAAACUUACUCCUCAUACCAACCUCUGCUUGCACUUGGGUCCUCACUUCACCUUCACACGGCCUGCCUCUCCUGCCGUGACAACCUUCUUAAAAAUAUUGUGAACCCUCCUAUACAUCCUGCGGUUUCUAGCCAAUAA
Molecule: long non-coding RNA, 1253 nt
Organism: Astatotilapia calliptera (eastern happy)
Lineage: Eukaryota; Metazoa; Chordata; Actinopteri; Cichliformes; Cichlidae
Source: Ensembl